RNAcentral lists this ribosomal RNA (484 nucleotides) under uncultured bacterium. RNAcentral's name for it is "partial 16S ribosomal RNA". It matches the Rfam family "Bacterial small subunit ribosomal RNA", at positions 30 to 507 of the family's 1533-position model. The record is from RNAcentral.
AUUGAACGCUGGCGGCAGGCCUAACACAUGCAAGUCGAGCGGAUGAAGGGAGCUUGCUCCUGGAUUCAGCGGCGGACGGGUGAGUAAUGCCUAGGAAUCUGCCUGGUAGCGGGGGAUAACGUCCGGAAACGGGCGCUAAUACCGCAUACGCCCUGAGGGAGAAAGGGGGGGAUCUUCGGACCUUACGCUAUCAGAUGAGCCUAGGUCGGAUUAGCUAGUUGGUCGGGUAAAGGCCUACCAAGGCGACGAUCCGUAACUGGUCUGAUGGGAUGAUCAGUCACACUGGGACUUGGACACGGUCCAAGCUCCUACCGGAGGCCGCAGUGGGGAAUAUUGGACAAUGGGCGACAACCUGGUCCAGGCCUGCCGCGGGUGGGAAAGAAGUCUUCGGAUUGUAAAGCACUUUAAGUUGGGAGGAAGGGCAGUAAGUUAAUACCUUGCUGUUUUGACGUUACCAACAGAAUAAGCCCCGGCUAACUUCGUU